Molecule: long non-coding RNA, 211 nt
Filed under: Mytilus galloprovincialis (Mediterranean mussel)
Lineage: Eukaryota; Metazoa; Mollusca; Bivalvia; Mytilida; Mytilidae
Source: RNAcentral
GUCCUGAAUAUGCAUGAACAUUUUACCACUGAACGUAAAGCAACCAACAACCAAUCGAUCACGUAAAUGAAAACUUCCAGAACAUACAAUUAUUAUAGAUUUGAAAUAGCAUAGAAAGUUCAAAAGAAAAACAAAAUUGUAAAAAUUUAUCUUCGACCAUAGACAAAACACGAAAUGUAAAAUGGUUCAGCAACCCAACAUUGCUGAUCUC